Ilyonectria robusta is the source of this 85-nucleotide non-coding RNA. The record is from the annotation of a RefSeq genome assembly. NCBI's taxonomy places the organism in Eukaryota, Fungi, Ascomycota, Sordariomycetes, Hypocreales, Nectriaceae.
GGGCGAAUGGUUUAGUGGUAUAAUACUCCCUUAGCAUGAUUCUUACAUCUGGGAGUGGUCCAGGGUUCGAUUCCCUGUUCGUCCA